AUGGCCAAUUGCGGGGGAAAUCAAGUAGCCAGGGAGCACAACAAAUGGUUGACAUGGGGAUGGAAGACGAAACUGAGGGGAAUGAGGACAAUGAUGAUGAUGAAGAAGAAGAGGAUGACGAAAAAGAAGAUGAUGAAGGAAAGGAGGACGAUGACGAUGAAGAAGGCGAUGGGGAUGACAAAGACAAGGAAGAUGAUGGGCAAGGGAAGCAGGAUGAAGAUUAUGAAGAUGACAGCGGAGGUGGCAACGGUGGUUCAGGAAGCAAUGGUGGUUCCGAUCGGGACGAGGAUCCGCAGCUGA
RNAcentral lists this ribosomal RNA (300 nucleotides) under Triticum aestivum (bread wheat). Its description in RNAcentral is "partial small subunit ribosomal RNA". The record is from RNAcentral. Lineage: Eukaryota; Viridiplantae; Streptophyta; Magnoliopsida; Poales; Poaceae.